ACUACGGGAGGCAGCAGUAGGGAAUCUUCCGCAAUGGGCGAAAGCCUGACGGAGCAACGCCGCGUGAGUGAUGAAGGUCUUCGGAUCGUAAAACUCUGUUAUUAGGGAAGAACAGUUGUGUACGUAACCAUGCACGUCUUGACGGUACCUAUAAAGAAAGCCACGGCUAACUCCGUGCCAGCAGCCGCGGUAAUACGUAGGUGGCAAGCGUUAUCCGGAAUUAUUGGGCUUAAAGCGCGCGUAGACGGUUUUUUAAGUCAGUUGUGAAAGCUCACGGCUCAACCGUGGAAGGGCAUUGGAGACUGGAAAACUUGAGUGCAGAAGAGGAAAGUGGAAUUCCAGGUGUAGCGGUGAAAUGCGCAGAGAUAUGGAGGAACACCAGUGGCGAAGGCGACUUUCUGGUCUGUAACUGACGCUGAUGUGCGAAAGCGUGGGGAUCAAACAGGAUUAGAUACCCGAGUAGUC
This 465-nucleotide ribosomal RNA is filed under the name uncultured bacterium. RNAcentral describes it as "partial 16S ribosomal RNA". It matches the Rfam family "Bacterial small subunit ribosomal RNA", at positions 338 to 795 of the family's 1533-position model. The record is from RNAcentral.